GACGUAGGGGGCAAGCGUUAUUCGGAAUUAUUGGGCGUAAAGCGCUCGUAGGCGGGACUGGAAGUCCGUGUUGAAAGACCUCGGCUCAACUGAGGGACCGGCUCGGAUACUCUAGUUCUUGAGGCAAUCAGAGGGUGAUGGAAUUCCCGGUGUAGCGGUGAAAUGCGUAGAUAUCGGGAGGACACCAGUGGCGAAGGCGAUCACCUGGGGUUGUUCUGACGCUGAGGAGCGAAAGCUAGGGGAGCAAACGGG
RNAcentral lists this ribosomal RNA (252 nucleotides) under uncultured bacterium. RNAcentral's name for it is "partial 16S ribosomal RNA". It matches the Rfam family "Bacterial small subunit ribosomal RNA", at positions 524 to 776 of the family's 1533-position model. The record is from RNAcentral.